CUCUCCAAAAUCCCCAACUUUCCCUCCUAAAAUCCCUAAUUUCCCCCUUGAAACCCCCAACUUUACAAACAUACCGUCCUUUAAAAUUUUUAACUCCAUGCCCAUUGCUAUCUUUUCUUCCUCAACCCCAAUUCUUAAACGCCCAAAUUUGGAAAGCAAUUUUUUCUUGCUCUGCCUCCAUGAAGCAGCCAAGAGAAGUGCAAAAGCGGCUGUCUCAUCUACUCUUCCAUCUAAGUUAUUUGGGAAGAAAGAAGAUGAACUGACUCAACUGUGGCAAAUGAAAACGGUAAAGUGCCGGAUGAAUAUGAGAGUGAAGGGUCUAUUGAGGAAGCUACCUUUAUGGAGUCAGUUUCAGAUUCGAAUCCUAUUGAUGAAAAGCUACCAUUCUGAUAGGAGGAAGUAGCUCCGUUGUUUUGAAGGAUAAGGUAUGAAGACCUCAUCAUGGUGAGGGGAAAAGCACAAAUGAGGCGCAUAGAGAACAAAAGCGACGAAAUGGGCUACUUAAAAUUCUUUAACAAAUCAAAUGCUUACUCUUUAUCACUUUCCGGAAAGUCUGAGCCAAUGCACAAUGGAAAAAGGUGUUUGGGCAGCUGCACAUUUCUGACAAAAGCAGCAAAAAUGAUCUGCACCAGGCAAUUGCAGCUAAUGGCUGUGAUAUUGAGCAUGUUGCGUAUGGUUUUUUCACACAAGUGUUUGUAUUAUAUGAAGAAGAAAUUGCGGACUCUAAAGCCCAAGUGACUGCAAUUCAUAUGAUAAUUGGGACUCUCCAGAGGAUGAAUGUAUUUGGUGUUUGAGAACAGAGAUACUUUGACACACAAAGCCACAGGACUUGGCUAUUGAAGAAGGCUAAUCAGUGCAGAGCUGUUUAUGCAUGUUCCCAUCUAUUUUGGGUUGAUAAUCAGGAUGGCAUAAAGGACGACGAGAGGGUCCUCUAACAAUAAGCAAAUCACCAGUUCUGCAAUCCAAGGGCUGAUAAAAUUAAUUAAUACUGAGAUGCAAAGUGAUUCCACAAACCCUGAUAUUGUGGCGGAUGCUUUCCUUGCCAGCACCUUGCGUUACAUUCAGUUCCAAAAACAAAAAGGCGGUGUAGUGGGUGAGAAAUUCGAUUCCGUUAAACUGUAAAUUGUUGAGUCAUGUAAAGAAGUAAUGCAUGGUAGUUAGAGAUGUAAAUAGGCGUUUAUUCUGAAUUUGGAUUUCAUAUUUGCUUGAUUAUAUCUUUUAUUAAACUGUAAAUUAUUGAGUCAUGUAAAUUGUAUUAUUUCUUUUAUUACCAAGAUUUACUUGAUUAAGAAAAUGCAUUGUAUUUUUUAUU
Gossypium raimondii (Peruvian cotton) is the source of this 1312-nucleotide long non-coding RNA. RefSeq lists it as uncharacterized. The record is from RefSeq and is a predicted model, not a curated record. Lineage: Eukaryota; Viridiplantae; Streptophyta; Magnoliopsida; Malvales; Malvaceae. The transcript is spliced from 6 exons.